AGAUGUCUCACAAUCUUCUAUCUGCAUCACUACAAGGUGAUCUGCAGAGGAUCGCUGCACUUGUGAAGAGUGGAGCUGACGUCAACUACUGUGACCAGCACGGCGACACUCCGUUGCACAGUGCCGCCCGAAGAGGUACAAUCGAUGUGUGUCGAGCGCUGCUCUCUGCAGGGGCAGACUAUAACAGUAGAAAUGAGACCAAGCCAUCAUGCACCACAGGAUCCAAGAACACCGACAAAAAUCACCCCACCUGACCCACAUUGCAGCCAAGUCCACAUGUGACCCCAUCGAAACCAGCCAUCUUGAAGGUACCGACGUCUGCAUCAACCGUCACAUCUGAAGCGUCUGAGGAUUCACCUCUGUACAGCCAUAGCAUGUCAGCUGCAUCUUCAUCCGCUGACGAGUCAGGGGAUGAAGAAGACGAAGAUGAUGAUCUGGAUAGCAGAUACGAUUUUCACCUGGUGUCAACCACAUCCCUGAAUCGCCUUCUUAGCUUUUGCCCUGACUGUGGAGAUCCUGUUAUUCAUCAGACAAAGUCAAGGUGUGGUACCAUGGUCACUGUCCACUUGACCUGUAAACGCAGAUGUCCCGUUACUUGGCGUUCACAAGAGGCGUUCCCACCCAAACAACCAAUCGGCAACAUCCGUGUAGUGGCUGCCAUUAUCUUCUGUGGUGGAUGCUUCGAGAAGUUCUCAGCAUUUGCCACCUUCUUGAAGUUGAACUCCAUCGGCUCCACUGCAUACUACAAGUACUAGAAAU
This is a long non-coding RNA of Sycon ciliatum, 759 nucleotides long. RefSeq lists it as uncharacterized. Lineage: Eukaryota; Metazoa; Porifera; Calcarea; Leucosolenida; Sycettidae. The transcript is spliced from 4 exons. The record is from RefSeq and is a predicted model, not a curated record.